Molecule: long non-coding RNA, 693 nt
Organism: Quercus robur (English oak)
Lineage: Eukaryota; Viridiplantae; Streptophyta; Magnoliopsida; Fagales; Fagaceae
Exons: 2
Source: RefSeq, a predicted model, not a curated record
UAAGACCUUACUUUAGCUUGAAGCGCUAGAUCAAAUACUUCACGGUCUGCGUUUGAGUGAGAGAGAGGGUUCUUCUCAAAAAAAAAAAAGAGUGAGUGAGAGAGAGAGAGAGAUCAUAUGGGGAUUUGGGAUUAUAUUUCCUCUACAAGCAAUUUGGUGAUACAAAACGCACCUGAUCUAAAGACUGUUGUUGCCAAGGUUGAUGACGUCGUUAGGACGAAGGUGAUCCAGUCCAUGCAAGACGAGGAAACUCGUUCCAAGGCCGGUCGGAUUGCUACCAACUUUGCUAAAAGCGCUGCGGUUGUUGCUUGCGAGGAGGGCGUCAAAACCAUCCCAGGUGGAUCAUUGUUUUAUAAGAUUUUUUUGCAAUUUCUCCAUAACGAAAAGAAGUCUGGGGAGUAAUGACGUAGAGACAAAGGCAUUGCAAGCUAAGUAGAAGACAAUUUCAUUUCAAGGAGACAAGAUGGGUGGAGUGAUGAAAUAAUUGUUAACUAUUGGGAUGAUAAAUAUUUUUAUGUCUUAGAUUUUAUGUAAUUAUUGUGGAACCCCCCUCCUCACCCUCGUUUGGUGUUUGUUUUGAGUUGUGGCAGAAUUGGGUGUGAUGAGGAAUGAUGUAUGCUGUUAAGUAUUGGAGUGAUGAAUUUAUUAUUAAGUACUUGGAUAAUAAGGAUUUGUAUGUCUCAAAUUUUGCAA